GUUGUUUAGUUGAAAAUCAAUUAAAUAAUUUUUGAUUUUGAGUAGUAUUGACUUCAUCAGCUUGCUGCUCUCUUUUCGGAAAUUAUUUAAUGCACUUUUCAGUUAACAAGUCAACAUCAAUUUCUUUUGUUGUAAAAAGGUAAGAGGAAGGUGGCUUACAUUUCGGUGUAAGUGUUUAUAGCCUUUUACCUCUGCAAUCGGAGAGAUUGAGGCCAGCAGCGUAGACUCUUCGGGGUUAGAUACGCUUGUGCUAAGCUAUAGCCUUGUAUAGACAACUUGUUGACUAUGCUCAGUCAUGUAGCUUACUCGCUUGCAGUAUUUUACCUAC
This 328-nucleotide ribosomal RNA is filed under the name uncultured Neocallimastigales. RNAcentral describes it as "partial large subunit ribosomal RNA". Lineage: Eukaryota; Fungi; Neocallimastigomycota; Neocallimastigomycetes; Neocallimastigales. The record is from RNAcentral.